RNAcentral lists this transfer RNA (70 nucleotides) under Leptophryne borbonica (Java tree toad). RNAcentral describes it as "tRNA-Ser". It matches the Rfam family "tRNA". From Rfam's summary of the family: Transfer RNA (tRNA) molecules are approximately 80 nucleotides in length. Their secondary structure includes four short double-helical elements and three loops (D, anti-codon, and T loops). Lineage: Eukaryota; Metazoa; Chordata; Amphibia; Anura; Bufonidae. The record is from RNAcentral.
AAGAAAGUGACAGAUUGGGAUGUGUCUGGCUUGAAACCAGAUAAUGGGGGUUCAAUUCCCUCCUUUCUUG